AGAAUUUGAUCUGGUUCAGGAUGAACGCUAGCUACAGGCUUAACACAUGCAAGUCGAGGGUAGCAGGGUAGCAAUACCGCUGACGACCGGCGCACGGGUGAGUAACACGUAUCCAACCUUCCCAUAACUCAGGGAUAGCCUUUCGAAAGAAAGAUUAAUACCUGAUAGUACUUUUUCAAGGCAUCUUGAGAAAGUUAAAGAUUUAUUGGUUAUGGAUGGGGAUGCGUUCCAUUAGAUAGUUGGUGAGGUAACGGCUCACCAAGUCUUCGAUGGAUAGGGGUUCUGAGAGGAAGGUCCCCACAUUGGUACUGAGACACGGACCAAACUCCUACGGGAGGCAGCGGUGAGGAAUAUUGGUCAAUGGGCGAGAGCCUGAACCAGCCAAGUAGCGUGAAGGAAUGAAGGUCCUAUGGAUUGUAAACUUCUUUUAUAGUAGAAUAAAGUGAUCCACGUGUGGAUUUUGUAUGUAUACUAUGAAUAAGGAUCGGCUAACUCCGUGCCAGCCGCCGC
This 510-nucleotide ribosomal RNA is filed under the name uncultured bacterium. RNAcentral describes it as "bacterial SSU rRNA". It matches the Rfam family "Bacterial small subunit ribosomal RNA", at positions 8 to 518 of the family's 1533-position model. The record is from RNAcentral.